This 420-nucleotide ribosomal RNA is filed under the name uncultured bacterium. Its description in RNAcentral is "bacterial SSU rRNA". It matches the Rfam family "Bacterial small subunit ribosomal RNA", at positions 356 to 773 of the family's 1533-position model. The record is from RNAcentral.
GAGGAAUAUUGGACAAUGGGUGAGAGCCUGAUCCAGCCAUCCCGCGUGAAGGACGACGGCCCUAUGGGUUGUAAACUUCUUUUGUAUAGGGAUAAACCUAGAUACGUGUAUCUAGCUGAAGGUACUAUACGAAUAAGCACCGGCUAACUCCGUGCCAGCAGCCGCGGUAAUACGGAGGGUGCAAGCGUUAUCCGGAUUUAUUGGGUUUAAAGGGUCCGUAGGCGGAUUUGUAAGUCAGUGGUGAAAUCUCACAGCUUAACUGUGAAACUGCCAUUGAUACUGCAAGUCUUGAGUGUUGUUGAAGUAGCUGGAAUAAGUAGUGUAGCGGUGAAAUGCAUAGAUAUUACUUAGAACACCAAUUGCGAAGGCAGGUUACUAAGCAACAACUGACGCUGAUGGACGAAAGCGUGGGGAGCGAAC